This is a long non-coding RNA of Astatotilapia calliptera (eastern happy), 1079 nucleotides long. The record is from Ensembl. NCBI's taxonomy places the organism in Eukaryota, Metazoa, Chordata, Actinopteri, Cichliformes, Cichlidae.
GGAUGUAGCCACCAUGACGUUACGAAGCCUUAGGCGGAACUUUUUCAGUGUUUUGAAACUCGAUGCGACAACUGAUCAAUCAGAACUUGUUAGCCAGUGAGUAUACCCUGGAUAAUUCUCCUUUCUGACAAUUAACAAAGUGGACCUGACGGUUUAUUUGAUAUGACCUGAAACUCUGAGCUAUAUUUUUCCAUAGGCUUCUCUAGGGCCAGAAGUCCUUUUGCAGCCAGAGAAGUCACCUCCUGGUGCCCUUUAAAAAAAUGUAUCUUGAAGGCACUUCCAUGCUGGCUUCAGUUUUCAGGCCUGGAAGCUACACCCAUUUUUUCAUUGUCUAUGCUAGCAUACAGAAGCCCAUUUUGAAGAUAUAAUAAUUCUGUCUUGUAAAUCAAUGGUUUUAGUCCAUCAGCUGGUGAGAUAUCUACUUGAAAAAGUCAUGAAAACAUACAUUAAAUUAUUGGCUUAAUCUUCUGCAAUAGCUUUGAUUUUUUUUAUUAGUAUCAGCCUUAAAAAAUGCCAGUCAUAUCAGUAGGUUUGCGUUACAAACACAACCAUUUUAGCUCAAAGAUUAGAGCUUUCACAAAGCCUCGAACUCCGGGGAAGCAGAGCCGCCAUUGGGUGACAGGGUCUUGUUAUAAUGAUAGACAUAUGACAAUGUUGGAAAUACAUUACAGGGUUACCUUGGCAACUGGAGCUUGGACUAUCCACCAGCUGUUAGCUAAAAAGGCAUGGGUGUGCGUCCACAAGCGACUCGCCUAUAAUUCCCAGCCAAAAUCCUGCAAAUGCAUUGACAGGUUCCCAGAUUAUUGCCGAACAUCUCUGAUCCAAAUUAUGUCACUAACACCAAAAGGCAGCGUCCAUUUCUAUUAUAUUUUGUUUACUGCAGGGGAGCACAGUGGAGCAGUGGUGCAGUGAGGACAAUGAGACAGUCCUGGGUUCAAGCCCAUGAGCCGGCUGGGGUUUUCUCUGUGCCUCAGCUUCCCGUCACAAAGACAUGUACGUUAGGUUAAUAAACUACCUGUCAGGGUGUACCCUGCUUCUCACCAUGAUGGCUGGGAUUGGCUCCGGUCCCACUGUGUGAC